Polistes canadensis is the source of this 1242-nucleotide long non-coding RNA. RefSeq lists it as uncharacterized. Lineage: Eukaryota; Metazoa; Arthropoda; Insecta; Hymenoptera; Vespidae. The transcript has 4 exons. The record is from RefSeq and is a predicted model, not a curated record.
GGUGGUGUUCGCGUUCAGCAUCGAUCCCCGGCUUGGUUGGUUCCCGUGACGUCACAAUAAGGGAGAGGCGGCUCGAGCCGGGAUUCGGUGAGAGAUCUUGCUAGUGCCUCUCUCGGUGCGCUCUUGACUGCACCGUUCCUUUGGUGCUCGCGUUUAACAUCCCACACGACCGUUUAAACAACCUUUAUAUUUCUUCCUUUAACACUUUUUUCUUUUUUUUCAUUCAAACCACCACUCAUCCUUCUUUCAUUAUUUCUUUUCCUUUCGUAUUGACUUUAAAUUUUUCUGUUUUUUUUUUUAUUUUUUGCAUCAACAAGUCAAAUUAUAAAAGCAACAAAUCAAGUGAAGCAAGCAACCAAUCAACCGACGGGUCUUUUAGAGUUUUCAGAUCGAUCGCGACCUUCGACUUCGACUUCGACGAAGUUGUUCUUCUUGUCUCGUCUUGGCGCUCCCACGCGCCAUCUCUCUCUCUCUCUCUCUCUCUCUCUUUCUCUCUCUCUUUCCUUUGAUUUGAUCUGUUUCUAUCUCUUUUUCUCUGCGGCGCGCGCCCCUGACGCACGCGAGUGCCUCGGACUCGACCUCCCUCGACGUCCGAGAUAAAUCUUCCUCAAGUCAAAGAACUCUCCCUCCCUCCUCCCCUCUCCCUCAAUGUUCUAUUUACUUUCAUGUAUCUUUUAAAAGAUUAAUCACAUACCAAUUCUUCAUGUAGAUGUUUAAUUGUUUAAGCAACAUUUUAUCAACAAGAGUAUCGAGAUUCUUCUAUAUUUUUCUGAUCUUAGCCAUGCUUAAAGAAAAGAGUUAGGAGGGUUGACCUUCGUGCUCUUUCGUCGCGCGGUCGUUGCACUUUAAAUGGAAGAAACGCGUAGUCAUCGCGAGGAAUUCUCAAAGGAAGGAAAGGCCAACGAUAGUGAAAAGAAGAAAGGAGGUUAACGUGACAAUCAACAACAAUAAAGAAUAAUCUAUCAAAAGUAAUCAUUUUAGCCAUUGUUAUACGAUCAUUCAUUUGAUAGAAACAAAAAAAGAGAAAACAACUAAUAAUUUUAUAACAAAAUUCCUUUUAUAUUAAUUAUACACAAUCAUAGUAAUCAGUAUCACAAUAGUGAUCAAUUUAUGACCCAUUGUCCAGCCGUUAGUUGCGUUUAGCGAGGAAAAUCAAAGAUGGCGCCUUGAAAUCUUUUCUUCUUCCUCGAAAUGGCCUAGUCCUUCAAAUUUAUACGUUUUUUUUAUUUUUUUUCGAACACA